This 61-nucleotide transfer RNA is filed under the name Didymobothrium rudolphii. RNAcentral describes it as "tRNA-Pro". The record is from RNAcentral. Lineage: Eukaryota; Metazoa; Platyhelminthes; Cestoda; Spathebothriidea; Acrobothriidae.
CUAACUUUAGUUUAAUUAGAAUAAGGGUUUUGGGGACCUUAGGUCCAACUUGGAAGUUUGG